UCCCAUUAGGGUUUUAAUUUGUAGAUUAGGGUUUCAUUUAGGGGUGUGGUUCUAGAUUUCCAAGUUCUCUAAGUUUUUUUCUGGUUUUUGUUUGUUUUACAGAGAUGGCGCAAACUGAAGGAGUAAAAGGUCGAAGCUUGUUGCUAGUUUUGGUGUUUUGACAAAAUUGUGGUCGGAUGUACACCAACACGUGUGUACAUAUGAACAACCAUGAUUUUGUACAUGUGUACACGCGUGUAUAUGUACAUAAUAAGUAAUGUUGAUAUGAGUAUUCUUGUUUAUAGGUUGGCAUGUAUAUGUUGUGUUUGUUGGUGUAGGAGCCGGUGCAUAUGAACAAUAUCCAUGUGUACACCGAUGUAAUGAUAUUCACAUGUACACAAAAAUGUAAACUUUCCAAGAAUAUAGCAAUACCAAUCUACUCCAUUGCAAAUUCAAUUUUAUUUUUUAUUCGAAUACUUUCUACAUUGAGAACCAUUUAAAACAUUAUUAUAAACUGGAUCACAUAUUUCAUUGAUGGGGUGGAUUUAUAUUAUUUAAACCAAUCAUCUGUAUAGUGAGUGAAAUAAGUGUACACAAGGGAAUGUGUACAUAUGGACAUUAGAAAAAGUGUGAACAUAUGGACAAUCGAGAGAGUGUGUACAUAUGGACAUUAGAGAUCGAGAAC
RNAcentral lists this long non-coding RNA (664 nucleotides) under Brassica napus (rape). RNAcentral's name for it is "long non-coding RNA (BNAP_LNC018027)". Lineage: Eukaryota; Viridiplantae; Streptophyta; Magnoliopsida; Brassicales; Brassicaceae. The record is from RNAcentral.